UGAGUUCCCACACAGCCCGCUGUUCU
Molecule: non-coding RNA, 26 nt
Filed under: Rattus norvegicus (Norway rat)
Lineage: Eukaryota; Metazoa; Chordata; Mammalia; Rodentia; Muridae
Source: RNAcentral